Molecule: unclassified non-coding RNA, 214 nt
Filed under: Hevea brasiliensis (rubber tree)
Lineage: Eukaryota; Viridiplantae; Streptophyta; Magnoliopsida; Malpighiales; Euphorbiaceae
Source: RNAcentral
CGCACCAUCCCCAUUCUCCCCUGUUCCAAACCCACACAUAGAAUUUGGCACUGAAGAUGGGAUCACUAAAAUCAACAAUUCAUGCACUUACUCUGUUUUUAUCACUAUCCUUUGUUACAUGCAUCGCUUUUGCUGCUUCUGGCGGUAGAAUGGGCGGCAACUCUUUCUCUAAGCGAUCAUCUCCAUCAUCAUCUUCUCAUUCCUCGCAUUUCUC